AUGGCAGGUCAAACUCCCCAAUUUACUUUACCCCUCUUACAAUCAUUCGCAUCUUUGCACCUGCCUGGAGGCUGCCUGCCUCGGUCCCUCUCAUAUAAUGCUGUCCCUCCCCUCGCCUCCCGGCCUUUCUCUCCCUCCCCCGGUGCUCCGAUCGAUCAUCCCAUUCGCCCGCCGUCAUCACUGCCAUCCUCCACGCCUGCCCCCCUCUCCUUUUACAAUUACACCACCACAAGUGAACCCACAAUCCGCCGCUACUUAAGCGCGCCUCGCACAACCCUACCUUGCUUCUUCUUGCUUUCCUCCACGCGCGCCACCCCACUCUUUGCUAACUUCUAUAUCCACCACGCCAGGCGUAAAUCGAGUUGCUACUUCAUGGGCCUCGAGCUCGAUCAGCUUGAGCUUUUGUCUCACCAGCUCCCUCCGGUCCGGACGUCCGCAACCGACGACGGCGCGACCGCCGCGGACGAUGAAGACCGGUGUGCCACGCCGACGUCGGAGGCGAACAUGCUGCGCGCGCCGUCGCUGUGCCCUCCGGCGCCGAGGAAGCCCAGGCCGGCGCGGGCCAAGAGGACGCAGCAGCACUGCUACUACCGCGUGCGGCGCCGGUGGUGCAGCAGCGGGCCGGCGCACGCGCGGUACUGGAUCGUCGCCGUGCCACACGACCUCGCCGCCGUGUUCGUCGCGCGGCGGCCGCCCUCUCCUUCGAGCUCGCCGUGCCGGCCGCCGGAAGCCAAGAAGAUCCGAGUGCACGUCGUAGGCUGA
RNAcentral lists this ribosomal RNA (762 nucleotides) under Triticum aestivum (bread wheat). RNAcentral's name for it is "partial small subunit ribosomal RNA". The record is from RNAcentral. Lineage: Eukaryota; Viridiplantae; Streptophyta; Magnoliopsida; Poales; Poaceae.